Molecule: ribosomal RNA, 521 nt
Filed under: uncultured bacterium
Lineage: Bacteria
Description: bacterial SSU rRNA
Rfam family: Bacterial small subunit ribosomal RNA
Source: RNAcentral
AGAGUUUGAUCCUGGCUCAGAUUGAACGCUGGCGGCAGGCCUAGCACAUGCAAGUCGAGCGGCAGCGGGUCCUUCGGGAUGCCGGCGAGCGGCGGACGGGUGAGGAUAGCGUCGGAAUCUGCCUUUUUGUGGGGGAUAACGUAGGGAAACUUACGCUAAUACCGCAUACGACCUACGGGUGAAAGUGGGGGGCCGCAAGGCCUCACGCAGAAAGAUGAGCCGACGUCGGAUUAGCUAGUUGGCGGGGUAAAGGCCCACCAAGGCGACGAUCCGUAGCUGGUCUGAGAGGAUGAUCAGCCACACUGGAACUGAGACACGGUCCAGACUCCUACGGGAGGCAGCAGUGGGGAAUAUUGGACAAUGGGCGCAAGCCUGAUCCAGCCAUGCCGCGUGUGUGAAGAAGGCCUUCGGGUUGUAAAGCCCUUUUGUUGGGAAAGAAAUCCAGCUGGCUAAUACCCGGUUGGGAUGACGGUACCGGAAGAAUAAGCACCGGCUAACUUCGUGCCAGCAGCCGCGGUAAU